CCGCGUUCCGGAGCGCGCGGAGAGGCAGGGCGGUGCGCGCCGCGGGGGGCGGGCUCCACCUGCCUGCCGACAGAGGGAGGGCCGCCGAGGGAGGAUGUGAAACGGGACGACCCGCUUCUGCGCCGGCGGCUUGCUUUGUUUGCCUCCUCACAGAAGACUCCUGCCUCUGACGCCGCCGCACCCGAGAGGCGGCGAACGGCUGCUCCCGCCGCUGCGGCCAGACGGGGUCGCCCGCCCCGCACCGGCCGGGCCGCCUGCCCGACGGGGUCGCCGGCGAUCCUGUUUCACGGGAAACGUGCGCGGCGUGGCGGAAGGGACUCCUCGCUCUGGGCUUUGGACGAUAAAAGCGCGUGUACGUGUGUGUUAAAGCCCACAGACACCGUAGCGACUUCUUGAUUCAUUCGGCAAAUACUGUGGAGCGCUGUGGCGUGCCAGGCUGUGCCAGGCUUAGACGACAGCCCUGAUCAGCGCCGACACCGCACCUGUCCUCGGGGAGCAUGCAGGGCACCGCUGCUCACCUCUAAAAAACACACCGCAUGUGAAUUUGCCGUAUUUUCUGGACUGUAAAAUGCUUUGUAUGCUAAGUCCAUAUAUCGAAUAGUUUUUCAGUGGUGGAGGAAGAAGCUACCUUAAAGUCAUAUAAUCACCAUAUAUGCGGGGAAAGGUCCUGGUCAAAAUCAAAGAAAGUUAGUAACAGCUGGCAGAGAGAGAAGGGAACACAGCUUGCAAAGAGAUGGCCUCUGCCUGUGGCCUGAAAUCUAAACUGACUUAAUUCCAUAAUUUGGAGCCUUUAUGGGUUGAAGUGCUAACUAUGACCUUAACAGAGAUGGAAGCCUGUAAAAAUAGCAGCUAAGAGGUGGUAGUCAUAGAUACUAUGGUUCUAAGCCUUUCUUAAACUCUUCUAAAGCAGACUGGGUGACCCAUCAGCAAAAACAGAUUAAGGUAGCACCUCCCCAGCAGAUUUAUUUCAGAUUGCAUCAAGGCAGGGCCGUUAAACUAAGGUGGGAAUGAUAUGGACAGAAUUCAGAGGCUAAUAGGUAAAAGACAAGAAUUUUCAGGCUUAAAAACCCUUUUGAGAGAAGAUCUUGGUCUGGUGCCUACUCAUACAUGGACUGCCUAGAAAAUACUAACAUGAGGAUGAAAAUGGAGCCUCAUGAUGAGAAUAAAGGAGAACGUGAUGUGGAAAAUAUGAAGAUGGAAUCCAUAAGCUAGGGAUGCUGGAGCAGAAAGAUAGAAGGAGUCUGGGUCAUUCGUAUCAUCUGGAAGCUGCUGCAGCAGUCCUAGACUGGCUACCCCUGGACGUCUUGUUAUGAUCCAUGACAGCCAGGUGUGGUCUUUAAUCCCCUUCAGUUUGGACCUGAUGGAUCCCUGUGGAAUGACGGUUGUCAUUACAGGCAGGUGAAUUCGCCAAUGCUAAAAGAGGACUCACUUGUGGGGAAAUUGUGAUUUUGUGUUUCUUGGGUAUGACAAGAAAAUGUUGACCACUCCAGACCUCAAGUAUAGGUCUAGAACAGAGGGCUUCUGACCUCAGGCUAACUAGAGUUUUAAGAAUAACACCUCGUGACGUCCCCUCCUUAGCCUGACUCCAGGGUUUCCUGAACUCUGGGGACCAACAUGUGGUGGUCCCCUGCAGCCUCUCCUGAGGGCUACCACUCUCAUCCUCUCCACACUAGGUAGCGUGGUCCACCCGGCUCUCCAGUCUGCACACCGGCACUAAGUCAAUGUUCUCAGAGUACUGCUUGGAUCACAUCCUUUUAGCCUUUUCUCAAAAACCUUCAGGGUUCCUUCUUACCAAGUUGAAGGAAGUGCCUCUUCAGAAUGGCCCCAGCGUGCUUCUGUGUCCUACUGGUCUCCUACUCGUCCGGGAUCCAGCCAAAAUCCUCUGCUUGCUCUCUCCGAAGGUGCUUUACCUUUCUGCCUCCAUGCUUUCGCUCCUGCUCUUCUCCCAAUACCCUCCUCAUCCUUCUCUGCCUCUAGAAAACCUACUUACCACUCAAGACCCAUCUCUAACACUACUUUCUCCAUCAAGGCUUUUGAAUGUGACCACCCUCCUUAAAAUCCUUUCACCAUUCAUGCUAUUUUUGUGGCAUCUGCCGGACUCUUUCCAUGUUGGGUUAUCCGUGUGCCUCUCUUAGUCUCUCCUCCCCCAUUAGACUGGUGCUUCAAGGGCAGAAGCUCCCUUUUCCUCUUGUUUGUAUCAUCUGAGGUCAGUAGCACAAGGCCUUGAACAUAACAGGCAGUCAACAAAUACUGAGUUGGAUUGCUUUUCAGACGAGACAAACAAGGAUUCUGAAAGAAAUCAGAAUGUGGGAAGAGCAACUUCUAAGCAAGUAUGCACAAAUGUUGGAAUGUGCUGCAAGGAAAAGCAGAGGGGCGGCCAAUGAGAUGGACACAGGCGUGGUCCGCAGCCAAUCACAUGGGCCUGGCAAUGAGGGAGGCACAGGCCUGGAGCCAGG
Molecule: long non-coding RNA, 2456 nt
Filed under: Equus asinus (donkey)
Lineage: Eukaryota; Metazoa; Chordata; Mammalia; Perissodactyla; Equidae
Description: lncRNA (ENSEASG00005023606.1)
Source: RNAcentral